RNAcentral lists this ribosomal RNA (449 nucleotides) under uncultured bacterium. RNAcentral describes it as "partial 16S ribosomal RNA". It matches the Rfam family "Bacterial small subunit ribosomal RNA", at positions 29 to 523 of the family's 1533-position model. The record is from RNAcentral.
AGCGAACGCUGGCGGCAGGCCUAACACAUGCAAGUCGAACGAACUCUUCGGAGUUAGUGGCGGACGGGUGAGUAACACGUGGGAACGGGCCUUUAGGUUCGGAAUAACUCAGGGAAACUUGUGCUAAUACCGAAUGUGCCCUUCGGGGGAAAGGUUUAUCGCCUUUAGAGCGGCCCGCGUCUGAUUAGCUAAUUUGUGAGGUAAAGGCUCACCAGGGCGACAAUCAGUAGCUGGUCUGAGAGGAUGAUCAGCCACAUUGGGACUGAGACACGGCCCAAACUCAUACGUGAGGCAGAAGUGGGGAAUUUUGCGCAAUGGGCGAAAGCCUGACGGGGCCAUGCCGCGUGAAUGAUGAAGGUCUUAGGAUUGUAAAAUUCUUUCACCGGGGACGAUUAUGACGGUACCCGGAGAAGAAGCCCCGGCUAACUUCGUGCCAGCCGCCGCAGUAA